This 307-nucleotide RNase P RNA is filed under the name Elusimicrobiota bacterium. RNAcentral describes it as "Elusimicrobia bacterium (groundwater metagenome) RNase P RNA component class A". It matches the Rfam family "Bacterial RNase P class A". Rfam says of the family: Ribonuclease P (RNase P) is a ubiquitous endoribonuclease, found in archaea, bacteria and eukarya as well as chloroplasts and mitochondria. Lineage: Bacteria; Pseudomonadati; Elusimicrobiota. The record is from RNAcentral.
GGGGAUGAACGAAGGGUUGCUCUGAUCCCGCAAGGGCAUUGGAGAGGAAAGUCCGGGCUCUCUUCUUUGUUCAAUAGCAAUAUUGAACGAAAAAACAGGUAAUGGGUAAUACCCAUACGCCGUAAGGCGCGAGGUGCGAACAGAAACGACCCGGUUAAGUCCGGCUGAAACGGCUAAAUCCUUACUUGGGUGCAAGUCCAGAAGUAGUAGGACGCAUGAUCCGGGUGGCAACAUCCGGACAAGAGAAAUAACCCUUGUUUCCUCGAAAGAGGAGAUACAGAACUCGGCUUACAGUUCAUCCCUUUAU